This 253-nucleotide ribosomal RNA is filed under the name uncultured bacterium. RNAcentral describes it as "partial 16S ribosomal RNA". It matches the Rfam family "Bacterial small subunit ribosomal RNA", at positions 524 to 776 of the family's 1533-position model. The record is from RNAcentral.
UACGAAGGGGACUAGCGUUGUUCGGAUUUACUGGGCGUAAAGCGCGCGUAGGCGGAUCACUAAGUCAGGGGUGAAAUCCCGAGGCUUAACCUCGGAACUGCCUUUGAUACUGGAGAUCUGGAGAUCGGGAGAGGUUGGUGGAAUUCCGAGUGUAGAGGUGAAAUUCGUAGAUAUUCGGAGGAACACCAGAAGCGAAGGCGGCCAACUGGCCCGAUACUGACGCUGAGGCGCGAAAGCGUGGGGAGCAAACAGG